RNAcentral lists this small RNA (28 nucleotides) under Bombyx mori (domestic silkworm). RNAcentral's name for it is "ovarian small RNA-1620". The record is from RNAcentral. Lineage: Eukaryota; Metazoa; Arthropoda; Insecta; Lepidoptera; Bombycidae.
UUGCUGACUUUUCAGGGUCCAGCGGGGC